UCCCUUCCAGGUGCCUCGACUGGUCUAAACUCCUUUCAGGCAGCUGGGGCUGGUUUUUUCUAGGCAGCUAGUCUGGUCUCUUGUCUGAGUGUUUGCAGCUCAGUCUCCUGCCGUCCGAGGAAACUCGACUUUUAUUGCUUACUCUGGAAGGAAGGGGACUAGUGAAUCUGGUCAGUGUCAGCUCUUUUGAGUUCUUUUCCUGGUUAAGCAGCUGCUUACAGGAUGGAAUGUUUCAAUUUUCUGGAAGCUUUUCCACAACAACAGCUUUUGUUGUGGUUGUUGUUGUUUUGCUAAUAUGUAUUCUAUGGUAUGUGUAUGUACAUAGUAUGGCAUGGAGGCAGUGGGGCAGGUAAUUUGUUUCAUUAAUUUCAUGCCUGCACCAUCAAGAGCAGUUACAUUUCAAGAGCUGACUGAAGGAACUUCUCUGGUGAAGCCUCAUCAAUACUUGGACCUAAUUUACAUGGCAGGCACUGAAUGAGUUGAGGGAAUGUUUCAUGUGAAAGAUAGGUGAAGCACACUGGUACCAGUGAGCAGAUCCAAGGAGAGAUGCACAUUGCUUAGCCAGGGAUCAAGCCUCGUAAGGGGUUCCGACUGUGGGGAGCUGAUGCAGACAACCACAGGGGCGGGCUUGAAACUGCCUCUUUAACCCCAAACUCGUCUAGGGCUCUGAAACCCCACGCGACUGUUGGACUACAAACGUUUGAAAGAUUUCGAACCACAAUCACCGAGCUUAACUCCUGGCUCUCAGAAACUUAGCAAUCACAAAUGGCUUAAGCUGUCAGGGUUUGGAGCUCUUUCUUAUGAAGCGAUAGGUGACUAUGAGAUUAUUAUUAUUUAUUUAUUUUUUUCUGAUGCCUCCUUUGCAAGAUUGCUUUACUACCUCACUAUGCGACAUUUGCUCUCUGGGGUCCAAUCUCAAAUUAUCAAGAUGAAAGUCUGACCGACAGAUCUUGGAUCAGAUGUCCCCUUGUGGCUCCUUUUCCUCUACCUGGAAAUGAUGUGACAGGAGGUAUGCAGACCUGCAUCUCUUAGGCUUGGGAUUUUGUUCUUGUAAUAAUAAGAAAGGAAAUACAGGCUGAAGGAGACUUCCUCCCAGACCCCGGAUCAGACACAAACCACACCCAAACACCUUUUUCACAGAGAGAUCCUUUACCAAACUGGGAAGAAAAGUUGAAGUGGCUGCUUUCUGACUCAGGCAGAAAACAGCAGCACAUGACCUUGCAGGAUCUUGCUGUGUACUCCAUCCAAGUCUCAAACUUGAAGAGUCUUCUGCCCUACCCUCCUAAGUACUAGAGCUAUGGGCAUGAGUCACCAUGGUUUGCCUCCCCAUGCUGAGAGUUUGGUGAAGUUAAAGUGUGGAGUUGCCUUUAGGACCAAAGGAACUAUAAUCGUGUAGCUUGAAGGCCAUCUGUAAUUAGUGAAAAAAAAAAUCAUCUCUUCUGCUGUUCCCUCAAAGAAGAAUAUGCUGUAAAUUCCCAACCAAGAAGGAACCAUUGGCAGUUUUAACAAAGGAGAGACCAGACAGUAGCACCUUGAGGCUCACUGGGCAUAUGAAGAGUUAGGGGUAAAGGACUAACAAAGCACAGAACUCCUUUAGUAUUGUGGUGGUGGAGAUGGUGGUGGUGGUGAUG
This is a long non-coding RNA of Peromyscus eremicus (cactus mouse), 1631 nucleotides long. RefSeq lists it as uncharacterized. NCBI's taxonomy places the organism in Eukaryota, Metazoa, Chordata, Mammalia, Rodentia, Cricetidae. The record is from RefSeq and is a predicted model, not a curated record. The transcript has 3 exons.